GCAACCAGUAGCUCAGUGUCCAGAGCCCCGCCCUUGUAAGACGGACGUCGAAGGUUAAAAUCCUUCCUUUUGCA
RNAcentral lists this transfer RNA (74 nucleotides) under Trichiurus lepturus (Atlantic cutlassfish). Its description in RNAcentral is "tRNA-Thr". The stretch from base 7 to 68 matches the Rfam family "tRNA", at positions 6 to 65 of the family's 71-position model. From Rfam's summary of the family: Transfer RNA (tRNA) molecules are approximately 80 nucleotides in length. Their secondary structure includes four short double-helical elements and three loops (D, anti-codon, and T loops). Further hydrogen bonds mediate the characteristic L-shaped molecular structure. tRNAs have two regions of fundamental functional importance: the anti-codon, which is responsible for specific mRNA codon recognition, and the 3' end, to which the tRNAs corresponding amino acid is attached (by aminoacyl-tRNA synthetases). tRNAs cope with the degeneracy of the genetic code in two manners: having more than one tRNA (with a specific anti-codon) for a particular amino acid; and 'wobble' base-pairing, i.e. permitting non-standard base-pairing at the 3rd anti-codon position. The record is from RNAcentral. Lineage: Eukaryota; Metazoa; Chordata; Actinopteri; Scombriformes; Trichiuridae. RNAcentral also lists the same sequence under 2 other names.